Molecule: ribosomal RNA, 618 nt
Filed under: Salmonella enterica subsp. enterica serovar Kentucky
Lineage: Bacteria; Pseudomonadati; Pseudomonadota; Gammaproteobacteria; Enterobacterales; Enterobacteriaceae
Description: partial 23S ribosomal RNA
Rfam family: Bacterial large subunit ribosomal RNA
Source: RNAcentral
AGACCCGAAACCCGGUGAUCUAGCCAUGGGCAGGUUGAAGGUUGGGUAACACUAACUGGAGGACCGAACCGACUAAUGUUGAAAAAUUAGCGGAUGACCUGUGGCUGGGGGUGAAAGGCCAAUCAAACCGGGAGAUAGCUGGUUCUCCCCGAAAGCUAUUUAGGUAGCGCCUCGUGAACUCAUCUCCGGGGGUAGAGCACUGUUUCGGCUAGGGGGCCAUCCCGGCUUACCAACCCGAUGCAAACUGCGAAUACCGGAGAAUGUUAUCACGGGAGACACACGGCGGGUGCUAACGUCCGUCGUGAAGAGGGAAACAACCCAGACCGCCAGCUAAGGUCCCAAAGUCAUGGUUAAGUGGGAAACGAUGUGGGAAGGCCCAGACAGCCAGGAUGUUGGCUUAGAAGCAGCCAUCAUUUAAAGAAAGCGUAAUAGCUCACUGGUCGAGUCGGCCUGCGCGGAAGAUGUAACGGGGCUAAACCAUGCACCGAAGCUGCGGCAGCGACACUGUGUGUUGUUGGGUAGGGGAGCGUUCUGUAAGCCUGCGAAGGUGUCCCGUGAGGGAUGCUGGAGGUAUCAGAAGUGCGAAUGCUGACAUAAGUAACGAUAAAGCGGGUGAAA